This 253-nucleotide ribosomal RNA is filed under the name uncultured bacterium. RNAcentral describes it as "partial 16S ribosomal RNA". It matches the Rfam family "Bacterial small subunit ribosomal RNA", at positions 524 to 776 of the family's 1533-position model. The record is from RNAcentral.
UACGGGGGGGGCAAGCGUUGUUCGGAAUUACUGGGCGUAAAGGGCUCGUAGGCGGCCAACUAAGUCAGACGUGAAAUCCCUCGGCUUAACCGGGGAACUGCGUCUGAUACUGGACGGCUUGAAUCCGGGAGAGGGAUGCGGAAUUCCAGGUGUAGCGGUGAAAUGCGUAGAUAUCUGGAGGAACACCGGUGGCGAAGGCGGCAUCCUGGACCGGCACUGACACUGAGGCACGAAAGCGUGGGGAGCAAACAGG